GCCUAAGUAAAGUAAGUAAGUGGCUAGCAUCUUUAGAGGAUCUGAUGGUAGUAAAGCAAGUGGAGCAUAUACCUGUAUGUAUAUAUAUUAUACUAGGGCUGUGCACGUAUUCAUUUUCUAAAUUGGGAUUUGUCUGAUUCGGUGUUUUUAUUUACUGUUUCAGCCAUAAGUGCACAGGCAGCAUGAGAAUUUUUUUCCAGCCACAACAAAUAAUGUGGCAUUGGAAUCUGGGUGGUUUUACCUGUAUUCAGGUGACCAAAGGCAACCUCAUGGCAUGCAAAGUAGCAGCCAUAGCACACAAGGGGUUUCCCAUGGCCCCUGCUGUCUGAGCCAAUUGUAAGAAGGAACCGUUUGCACUCAUUUCAAUGCCUUAGCUGCUUUGGAUCACUUUUUGCCAUUAUUUCAGUAACUUCUUUCCUUCAAGAAGCAAUUAAAAACAUUCAUUUGCACGUUGGCUUUUGGCAGGACCAGAGAAGGAAAAGAGAAGAAUGGCCAGAACACUGGUUAGUAAGUGGAUCUAUGAACCCAGUGAAACUUUUUAAAGCCACACAUUUAUUUGUGAAUGCAACUAUUGUUGCAAAAGAUUUUGAUAAAAUAUAGUGAUUCAAGGAUGACAGAUUUUCAAGUAUUUUAUCAUUCUCAUCGUUGUGUGCCGUCAAGUUGUUUCAAACUUAUGGUGACCCUUAGGUGACACUAUCUUUAUCUAAAUAUGCUAAAGCAUAUCUAAAUAUCUAAAUAUGCUAAGGCAUCAGAUCCCAUCCGAUCUUGGAAACUAAGUAGGAUCAGCACUGGUUAGGACUUGGCUGGGACAUCACCAACAAAAUGCAAGGUGAUAUAGUCUGUCUUUCAAAGGAAGAAACUGGCAAAAAAAAAAAAACCCAACUCUGAUUCAGGCUCUGCUCUCCAGAGCCAUAGUUCAGUCCUGAAACCAUAACACUACGCUGGUGCUUGUAUUGUUCUGUUUGACAGAUUCUAAGUCAUGCUUCUAACACAUUGAUUUUUCCUCUUUCUUUCUCCCCAGAAAGAUGAAAUUUCACAAGCAAAAGGUAUAAACUUUCUCAUUGCAUAGCUAGUGCUACUAUCUAGGGAUUGAUGACUCUCAUAAUAUUUUACCUUAUGUGAUAAGGAAACUGUAAACAAAUACAUAUCCCUCAUUACUAAUAUAUUUUCAAAUUCUGUGUUGACUCUGCAUAUAUCACAGAUAAACAACUUUUUGUGUGUCCUG
RNAcentral lists this long non-coding RNA (1225 nucleotides) under Anolis carolinensis (green anole). RNAcentral describes it as "lncRNA (ENSACAG00000041867.1)". Lineage: Eukaryota; Metazoa; Chordata; Lepidosauria; Squamata; Anolidae. The record is from RNAcentral.